GCGCUUAAUUGCGCGGCGAUAAACCUUACACACAUUGUCUAGUUUUUUUGAACUUUGCUUUGGGUGGUGAGCCUGGCUUACUGCCCAAAGGUCUAAACACAUUUUUUUUAAUGUUAAAACCUUUAACCAAUAGUCAUGAAAAUUUUUAACAAAAAUUAAAAUCUUCAAAACUUUCAACAACGGAUCUCUUGGUUCUCGCAACGAUGAAGAACGCAGCGAAAUGCGAUACGUAUUGUGAAUUGCAGAUUUUCGUGAAUCAUCGAAUCUUUGAACGCACAUUGCACCCUCUGGUAUUCCAGAGGGUAUGCCUGUUUGAGCGUCAUUUCUCUCUCAAACCUUCGGGUUUGGUAUUGAGUGAUACUCUGUCAAGGGUUAACUUGAAAUAUUGACUUAGCAAGAGUGUACUAAUAAGCAGUCUUUCUGAAAUAAUGUAUUAGGUUCUUCCAACUCGUUAUAUCAGCUAGGCAGGUUUAGAAGUAUUUUAGGCUCGGCUUAACAACAAUAAACUAAAAGUUUGACCUCAAAUCAGGUAGGACUACCCGCUGAACUUAAGCAUAUCAAUAAGCGGAGGAAAAGAAACCAACAGGGAUUGCCUCAGUAACGGCGAGUGAAGCGGCAAAAGCUCAAAUUUGAAAUCUAGCACCUUCGGUGUUCGAGUUGUAAUUUGAAGAUGGUAACCUUGGGUUUGGCUCUUGUCUAUGUUCCUUGGAACAGGACGUCAUAGAGGGUGAGAAUCCCGUCUGAUGAGAUGCCCAUUCCUAUGUAAGGUGCUAUCGAAGAGUCGAGUUGUUUGGGAAUGCAGCUCUAAGUGGGUGGUAAAUUCCAUCUAAAGCUAAAUAUUGGCGAGAGACCGAUAGCGAACAAGUACAGUGAUGGAAAGAUGAAAAGAACUUUGAAAAGAGAGUGAAAAAGUACGUGAAAUUGUUGAAAGGGAAGGGCAUUAGAUCAGACUUGGUGUUUUACGAUUAUCUUCUCUUCUUGAGUUGUGCACUCGUAUUUCACUGGGCCAGCAUCGAUUCGGAUGGCAAGAUAAUGGCAGUUGAAUGUGGCUUCACUUCGGUGGAGUGUUAUAGCUUCUGCUGAUAUUGCCUGUCUGGAUCGAGGGCUGCGUCUUUUGACUAGGAUGCUGGCGUAAUGAUCUAAUGCCGCCCGUCUUGAAACACGGACCAAGGAGUCUAACGUCUAUGCGAGUGUUUGGGUGUAAAACCCGUACGCGUAAUGAAAGUGAACGUAGGUGAGAGCUCUUUUUGAGUGCAUCAUCGACCGAUCCUGAUGUUUUCGGAUGGAUUUGAGUAAGAGCAUAGCUGUUGGGACCCGAAAGAUGGUGAACUAUGCCUGAAUAGGGUGAAGCCAGAGGAAACUCUGGUGGAGGCUCGUAGCGGUUCUGACGUGCAAAUCGAUCGUCGAAUUUGGGUAUAGGGGCGAAAGACUAAUCGAACCAUCUAGUAGCUGGUUCCUGCCG
Molecule: ribosomal RNA, 1462 nt
Filed under: Hansenula anomala
Lineage: Eukaryota; Fungi; Ascomycota; Saccharomycetes; Phaffomycetales; Wickerhamomycetaceae
Description: eukaryotic LSU rRNA
Rfam family: Eukaryotic large subunit ribosomal RNA (bases 516-1462)
Source: RNAcentral